AUGAUGAUGACUCAAUUAAUAAACUAGUAAAAACUAUUUCUACUAUUUAUCUCGACUCUGGUCAGAGACUUUCAGAGUCACCAUCCUAUUAGAUUACAUAAGAUGUUCUCUCCUCUUAUAAGGAGUGAUCGAUUUCUUAUUGACCACUCACAAUCUCCAUGCAUACUUUUUCAUAUCCAGAAUAUCCCACACAUAUCUUAAAGUGGUAUGCUAAAGAAUAAACU
RNAcentral lists this long non-coding RNA (224 nucleotides) under Elaeis guineensis (African oil palm). Its description in RNAcentral is "long non-coding RNA (EGUI_LNC073369)". The record is from RNAcentral. Lineage: Eukaryota; Viridiplantae; Streptophyta; Magnoliopsida; Arecales; Arecaceae.